This 523-nucleotide ribosomal RNA is filed under the name uncultured bacterium. RNAcentral describes it as "partial 16S ribosomal RNA". It matches the Rfam family "Bacterial small subunit ribosomal RNA", at positions 28 to 523 of the family's 1533-position model. The record is from RNAcentral.
GACGAACGCUGGCGGCGUGCCUAAUGCAUGCAAGUCGAACGCUUUUUCUUUCACCGGAGCUUGCUCCACCGAAAGAAAAAGAGUGGCGAACGGGUGAGUAACACGUGGGUAACCUGCCCAUCAGAAGGGGAUAACACUUGGAAGCAGGUGCUAAUACCGUAUAACACUAUUUUCCGCAUGGAAGAAAGUUGAAAGGCGCUUUUGCGUCACUGAUGGAUGGACCCGCGGUGCAUUAGCUAGUUGGUGAGGUAACGGCUCACCAAGGCAACGAUGCAUAGCCGACCGGAGAGGGGGAGCGGCCACACUGGGACUGAGACACGGCCCAGACUCAUACGGGAGGCAGCAGUAGGGAAUCUUCGGCAAUGGACGAAAGUCUGACCGAGCAACGCCGCGUGAGUGAAGAAGGUUUUCGGAUCGUAAAACUCUGUUGUUAGAGAAGAACAAGGAUGAGAGUAGAACGUUCAUCCCUUGACGGUAUCUAACCAGAAAGCCACGGCUAACUACGUGCCAGCCGCCGCGGUAA